This 313-nucleotide unclassified non-coding RNA is filed under the name uncultured Clavaria. Its description in RNAcentral is "sequence contains ITS2". Lineage: Eukaryota; Fungi; Basidiomycota; Agaricomycetes; Agaricales; Clavariaceae. The record is from RNAcentral.
AACGCACCUUGCACCCUCUGGCAUUCCGGAGGGUAUGCCUGUUUGAGUGUCAUUAAUCUCUCAACACAAGAAACUUUGUGUUCUUGUGCUUGGAUGUUGAAGGUUUUGCUGGCGCAAACAACUGUCAGCUCCUUUUAAACGCAUUAGCAGAGCAGUAUGGGACUGGCCUCGGUUUGAUAAGAAACAUUAUCUAUGCUGUCGCUGGGUUUUCCUCUUUGUGCUCAGCUUCAAAUUGUCUUCGGACUGUCUCUUUGAGGCAACAAAAUCUCUAUUGAUCGACCUCAAAUCAGGUAGGACUACCCGCUGAACUUAA